Molecule: long non-coding RNA, 320 nt
Organism: Octodon degus (degu)
Lineage: Eukaryota; Metazoa; Chordata; Mammalia; Rodentia; Octodontidae
Exons: 3
Source: RefSeq, a predicted model, not a curated record
CCAAGCAGCCGGCAUUUCACAAGAGGACAGAGCUGAAUUUCUGUGUGUCUGCACCCUCCCCAGCUACAUUCCAGGAUUAGCAAUGAACAAAAAGACUAUCUGUGGUUUAAAAGCAGAAAAUUGCCUGUAGCAUGAAACAAUUAUGGAGCAGAGCCAGGAUCCAACACAGGUCUGUCUGGCUCCACUCCCUGGAAAGUGUUUCUCCUUUAUGCCCACAAUGGCUGCCAGAACCAGGGAUUGAACUCAGGCCCUUGUGCUUGCCAGGGAAGUGCUUAUUCUACUGAGCCAUCUCUCCAGCCCCAACAAUAACCCUUCAAAGU